Molecule: ribosomal RNA, 496 nt
Filed under: uncultured bacterium
Lineage: Bacteria
Description: partial 16S ribosomal RNA
Rfam family: Bacterial small subunit ribosomal RNA
Source: RNAcentral
GAUGAACGCUGGCGGCGUGCCUAAUACAUGCAAGUCGAGCGAACAGACGAGGAGCUUGCUCCUCUGACGUUAGCGGCGGACGGGUGAGUAACACGUGGAUAACCUACCUAUAAGACUGGGAUAACUUCGGGAAACCGGAGCUAAUACCGGAUAAUAUAUUGAACCGCAUGGUUCAAUAGUGAAAGACGGUUUUGCUGUCACUUAUAGAUGGAUCCGCGCCGCAUUAGCUAGUUGGUAAGGUAACGGCUUACCAAGGCAACGAUGCGUAGCCGACCUGAGAGGGGGAUCGGCCACACUGGACCUGAGACCCGGUCCAGACUCCUACGGGAGGCAGCAGUAGGGAAUCUUCCGCAAUGGGCGAAAGCUUGACGGAGCAACGCCGCGUGAGUGAUGAAGGUCUUCGGAUCGUAAAACUCUGUUAUUAGGGAAGAACAAAUGUGUAAGUAACUAUGCACGUCUUGACGGUACCUAAUCAGAAAGCCACGGCUAACUACGU